RNAcentral lists this ribosomal RNA (301 nucleotides) under uncultured bacterium. RNAcentral describes it as "partial 16S ribosomal RNA". It matches the Rfam family "Bacterial small subunit ribosomal RNA", at positions 509 to 807 of the family's 1533-position model. The record is from RNAcentral.
CAGUCGCCACGGUAAUACGAAGGGGGCUAGCGUUGUUCGGAAUUACUGGGCGUAAAGCGCGCGCAGGCGGCUAUCCAAGUCAGUGGUGAAAGCCCGGAGCUCAACUCCGGAACUGCCAUUGAAACUGUUUAGCUUGAGGACGAGAGAGGUGAGUGGAAUUCCCAGUGUAGAGGUGAAAUUCGUAGAUAUUGGGAAGAACACCGGUGGCGAAGGCGGCUCACUGGCUCGUUUCUGACGCUCAGGCGCGACAGCAUGGGGAUCAAACAGGAUUAGAUACCCGAGUAGUCCCUGUCUCUUAUAC